UAACGGGGAUUACUGGAGCGUAAGCGCACGCAGGCGGUCUGUCAAGUCGGAUGUGAAAUCCUUCGGGCUCAACCUGGGAACUGCAUUCGAAACUGGCAGGCUAGAGUCUUGUAGAGGGGGGUAGAAUUCCAGGUGUAGCGGUGAAAUGCGUAGAGAUCUGGAGGAAUACCGGUGGCGAAGGCGGCCCCCUGGACAAAGACUGACGCUCAGGUGCGAAAGCGUGGGGAGCAAACAGGAUUAGAUACCCUGGUAGUCCACGCCGUAAACGAUGUCGACUUGGAGGUUGUGCCCUUGAGGCGUGGCUUCCGGAGCUAACGCGUUAAGUCGACCGCCUGGGGAGUACGGCCGCAAGGUUAAAACUCAAAUGAAUUGACGGGGGCCCGCACAAGCGGUGGAGCAUGUGGUUUAAUUCGAUGCAACGCGAAGAACCUUACCUACUCUUGACAUCCAGAGAACUUUCCAGAGAUGCAUUGGUGCCUUCGGGAACUCUGAGACAGGUGCUGCAUGGCUGUCGUCAGCUCGUGUUGUGAAAUGUUGGGUUUAAGUCCCGCAACGAGCGCAACCCUUAUCCUUUGUUGCCAGCGGGUCAGGCCGGGAAACUCAAAGGAGACUGCCAGUGAUAAACUGGGAGGAAGGUGGGGAUGACGUCAAGUCAUCAUGGGCCUUUACG
RNAcentral lists this ribosomal RNA (670 nucleotides) under Enterobacter asburiae. RNAcentral's name for it is "bacterial SSU rRNA". It matches the Rfam family "Bacterial small subunit ribosomal RNA", at positions 542 to 1206 of the family's 1533-position model. The record is from RNAcentral. Lineage: Bacteria; Pseudomonadati; Pseudomonadota; Gammaproteobacteria; Enterobacterales; Enterobacteriaceae.